This 170-nucleotide ribosomal RNA is filed under the name Ogataea wickerhamii. RNAcentral describes it as "partial 18S ribosomal RNA". It matches the Rfam family "Eukaryotic small subunit ribosomal RNA", at positions 1484 to 1653 of the family's 1831-position model. Lineage: Eukaryota; Fungi; Ascomycota; Pichiomycetes; Pichiales; Pichiaceae. The record is from RNAcentral.
GGGCCGCACGCGCGCUACACUGACGGAGCCAGCGAGUUUUUGUCCUUGGCCGAGAGGUCUGGGUAAUCUUGUGAAACUCCGUCGUGCUGGGGAUCGGCCUUUGCAAUUCUUGGCCGUCAACGAGGAAUUCCUAGUAAGCGCAAGUCAUCAGCUUGCGUUGAUUACGUCCC